This 906-nucleotide ribosomal RNA is filed under the name Triticum aestivum (bread wheat). RNAcentral's name for it is "partial small subunit ribosomal RNA". Lineage: Eukaryota; Viridiplantae; Streptophyta; Magnoliopsida; Poales; Poaceae. The record is from RNAcentral.
AUGCCGCCUCAUAAGAUAGAGACUGGCCACCAAGAUGUGGUGCAUGACAUCGCAAUGGAUUACUACGGGAAGCGUAUUGCCACUGCCUCCUCUGAUAACACAAUCAAGAUCAUUGGCGUAAGUGGCACCUCGCACCAGCAACUUGCUACUUUGAGCGGACACGAGCAAAUCGCAUGGGCUCAUCCCAAGUAUGGUUCCAUGCUUGCAUCCUGCAGCUAUGAUGGUCGGGUCAUCAUAUGGAAAGAAGGGAGUAAGCCCGAUGAGUGGGCACAGGCACACACUUUCAAUGAGCACAAGUCUUCUGUCAAUUCCAUUGCUUGGGCGCCUCACGAGCUCGGCCUCUGCUUGGCUUGCGGUUCGUCUGAUGGGAACAUUUCCGUGUUCAUGGCUCGUUCUGAUGGAGGGUGGGAGACGACGCGCAUCGAUCAGGCACAUCCAGUGGGCGUCACCUCUGUUUCCUGGGCCCCAUCAAUGGCGCCGGGCGCUCUAAUCAGUCCAGGGCCUUCUGGGCAGUUCGAGUACGUCCAGAAACUUGCUUCUGGUGGCUGCGACAACACGGUCAAGGUGUGGAAGCUCACCAACGGGAGUUGGAGGAUGGACUGCUUUCCUGCCCUUCAGAUGCACAGGGACUGGGUGAGGGACGUCGCCUGGGCGCCGAACCUAGGCCUCCCUAAGUCCACGAUCGCCAGCGCCUCUCAGGAUGGAACCGUCGUCAUCUGGACCGCGCCAAAAGAAGGCGAGCAGUGGGAAGGCAGGGUCCUGAAUGAUUUCAGAACCCCUGUUUGGAGGCUGUCGUGGUCGCUGACGGGCAACAUCUUGGCGGUCUCCGAUGGCAACAACAAUGUGACCCUCUGGAAAGAAGCCGUCGACGGCGAAUGGCAGCAAGUGACUACCGUCGAGCCAUAG